Molecule: ribosomal RNA, 460 nt
Filed under: uncultured bacterium
Lineage: Bacteria
Description: partial 16S ribosomal RNA
Rfam family: Bacterial small subunit ribosomal RNA
Source: RNAcentral
CCUACGGGGAGCAGCAGGGAGGAAUAUUGGUCAAUGGACGCAAGUCUGAACCAGCCAUGCCGCGUGCAGGAAGACGGCUCUAUGAGAUGUAAACUGCUAUUGUACGAGGGUAAACGCAGAUACGCGGAUCUGUCUGAAAGGAUCGUACGAAUAAGGAUCGGCUAACUCCGUGCCAGCAGCCGCGGUAAUACGGAGGAUUCAAGCGUUAUCCGGAUUGAUUGGGUUUAAAGGGUGCGUAGGCGGUAGGAUAAGUUAGAGGUGAAAUCCCGAGGCUCAACUUCGGAAUUGCUUCUGAUACUGUUCGGCUAGAGAGUAGUUGCGGUAGGCGGAAUGUAUGGUGUAGCGGUGAAAUGCUUAGAGAUCAUACAGAACACCGAUUGCGAAGGCAGCUUACCAAGCUACUUCUGACGUUGAGGCACGAAAGCGUGGGGAGCAAACAGGAUUAGAUACCCCUGUAGUC